RNAcentral lists this ribosomal RNA (253 nucleotides) under uncultured prokaryote. RNAcentral describes it as "partial 16S ribosomal RNA". It matches the Rfam family "Bacterial small subunit ribosomal RNA", at positions 524 to 776 of the family's 1533-position model. The record is from RNAcentral.
UACGUAGGAGGCAAGCGUUGUCCGGAUUUACUGGGCGUAAAGCGCGCGCAGGCGGCUCGGCAAGUAAGGUGUGAAAUCUCCCUGCUCAACGGGGAGGGUGCACUUUAGACUGUUGGGCUUGAGGUCGGUAGAGGGGGGUGGAAUUGCUGGUGUAGCGGUGAAAUGCGUAGAGAUCAGCAGGAACACCCGUGGCGAAGGCGGCCCCCUGGGCCGUACCUGACGCUGAGGCGCGAAGGCUAGGGGAGCGAACGGG